GACGAACGCUGGCGGCGUGCCUAAUACAUGCAAGUAGAACGCUGAAGGAGGAGCUUGCUUCUCUGGAUGAGUUGCGAACGGGUGAGUAACGCGUAGGUAACCUGCCUGGUAGCGGGGGAUAACUAUUGGAAACGAUAGCUAAUACCGCAUAAUAGUAGAUGUCGCAUGACAUUUGCUUAAAAGGUGCAAUUGCAUCACUACCAGAUGGACCUGCGUUGUAUUAGCUAGUUGGUGAGGUAACGGCUCACCAAGGCAACGAUACAUAGCCGACCUGAGAGGGUGAUAGGCCACACUGGGACUGAGACACGGCCCAGACUCCUACGGGAGGCAGCAGUAGGGAAUCGUCGGCAAUGGACGGAAGUCUGACCGAGCAACGCCGCGUGAGUGAAGAAGGUUGUCGGAUCGUAAAGCUCUGUUGUAAGAGAAGAACGAGUGUGAGAGUGGAAAGUUCACACUGUGACGGUAUCUUACCAGAAAGGGACGGCUAACUACGUG
RNAcentral lists this ribosomal RNA (495 nucleotides) under uncultured bacterium. RNAcentral describes it as "partial 16S ribosomal RNA". It matches the Rfam family "Bacterial small subunit ribosomal RNA", at positions 28 to 507 of the family's 1533-position model. The record is from RNAcentral.